Molecule: unclassified non-coding RNA, 329 nt
Filed under: soil metagenome
Description: partial contains 5.8S ribosomal RNA, internal transcribed spacer 2, and large subunit ribosomal RNA
Rfam family: 5.8S ribosomal RNA (bases 1-120)
Source: RNAcentral
GAUGAAGAACGUAGCGAAAUGCGAUAAGUAGUGUGAAUUGCAGAAUUCCGUGAAUCAUCGAAUCUUUGAACGCACAUUGCGCCCCCUGGUAUUCCGGGGGGCAUGCCUGUCCGAGCGUCAUUACAACCCUCAAGCUCAGCUUGGUAUUGGGCCCCGCCGCUCCGGCGGGCCCUAAAGUCAGUGGCGGUGCCGUCCGGCUCCGAGCGUAGUAAUUCUUCUCGCUCUGGAGGUCCGGUCGUGUGCUCGCCAGCAACCCCCAAUUUUUUUCAGGUUGACCUCGGAUCAGGUAGGGAUACCCGCUGAACUUAAGCAUAUCAAUAAGCGGAGGA